This 488-nucleotide ribosomal RNA is filed under the name [Candida] sp. D1adP196. RNAcentral describes it as "eukaryotic LSU rRNA". It matches the Rfam family "Eukaryotic large subunit ribosomal RNA", at positions 103 to 646 of the family's 3401-position model. The record is from RNAcentral. Lineage: Eukaryota; Fungi; Ascomycota; Saccharomycetes; Saccharomycetales.
UAUCGCUCAGAUUUGAAAUCUGGCACCUUCGGUGUCCGAGUUGUAAUUUGAAGAAGGUAUCUUUGGUUUUGGCUCUUGUCUAUGUUCCUUGGAACAGGACGUCACAGAGGGUGAGAAUCCCGUGCGAUGAGAUGCCCAAUUCCAUGUAAAGUUCCUUCGACGAGUCGAGUUGUUUGGGAAUGCAGCUCUAAGUGGGUGGUAAAUUCCAUCUAAAGCUAAAUAUUGGCGAGAGACCGAUAGCGAACAAGUACUGUGAAGGAAAGAUGAAAAGAACUUUGAAAAGAGAGUGAAAAAGUACGUGAAAUUGUUGAAAGGGAAGGGCUUGAGGUCAGACUUGGUUUUACCAGGCCAGCAUCAGUUUGGAUGGCAGGAUAAUAGCGGAGGAAAGUGGCACCAUUUCGAUGGUGUGUUAUAGCCUUUGUUGAUACUGCCUGUCUAGACUGAGGACUGCGUCUUUGACUAGGAUGCUGGCAUAAUGACCUUAAGCC